AGAGUUUGAUUAUGGCUCAGGAUGAACGCUGGCGGCGUGCUUAACACAUGCAAGUCGAACGUAAAUUCUCCUUCGGGAGAAUGAAAGUGGCAAACGGGUGAGUAACACGUUGGUGACCUACCCCUCGGCGGGGGAUAACUCUGGGAAACCAGAGCUAAUACCGCGGAUGUCUAAGUCGUUAGAGAGCUUAGACUAAAACUAAGGUGCCGGGAGAGGGGCCUGCGGGCUAUCAGCUAGUUGGUGGGGUAAAGGCCUACCAAGGCGCAGACGGCUAGGGGGCGUGAGAGCGCGACCCCCCACAAGGGAACUGAGACACGGUCCCUACUCCUACGGGAGGCAGCAGUGAGGAAUAUUGCCCAAUGGAGGAAACUCUGAGGCAGCAACGCCGCGUGAACGAUGACGGCCUUCGGGUUGUAAAGUUCUUUUCUCAGGGAAGAUGAUGACGGUACCUGAGGAAUAAGUCUCGGCUAACUACGUGCCAGCAGCCGCGGUAAAACGUAGGGGACAAGCGUUAUCCGGAUUUACUGGGCGUAAAGCGCCCGUAGGCGGUUGGCUAAGUUGGACGUGAAAGCUCCCGGCUUAACUGGGAGAGGCCGUUCAAAACUGGCGGACUAGAGUAAGGCAGAGGAGCGCGGAAUUCCCGGUGUAGUGGUGGAAUGCGUAGAUAUCGGGAGGAACACCAGUGGCGAAAGCGGCGCUCUGGGCCUAAACUGACGCUGAGGGGCGAAAGCGUGGGGAGCGAACGGGAUUAGAUACCCCGGUAGUCCACGCCGUAAACGAUGGAGACUAGGUGUAGGCGGAUAGAACCCCGUCUGUGCCGAAGCCAACGCGUUAAGUCUCCCGCCUGGGGAGUACGGCCGCAAGGUUAAAACUCAAAUGAAUUGACGGGG
This 890-nucleotide ribosomal RNA is filed under the name uncultured Chloroflexota bacterium. Its description in RNAcentral is "bacterial SSU rRNA". It matches the Rfam family "Bacterial small subunit ribosomal RNA", at positions 8 to 918 of the family's 1533-position model. The record is from RNAcentral. Lineage: Bacteria; Bacillati; Chloroflexota.